AGGACGAACACUGGCGGCGUGCUUAACACAUGCAAGUCGAGCGGAAAGGCCCUUCGGGGUACUCGAGCGGCGAACGGGUGAGUAACACGUGGGCAACCUGCCCCUAGCUCUGGGAUAACUCCGGGAAACCGGGGCUAAUACCGGAUACGAUCUUCCACGGCAUCUCGGAAGAUGGAAAGUUUUUUCGGCUAGGGAUGGGCCCGCGGCCUAUCAGCUUGUUGGUGAGGUAACGGCCCACCAAGGCGACGACGGGUAGCCGGCCUGGAGAGGGCGACCGGCCACGACUGGGACUGAGACACGGCCCAGACUCCUACGGAGGCAGCAGUGGGGAAUAUUGCGCAAUGGGCGAAAGCCUGACGCAGCGACGCCGCGUGAGGAGUGAAGGCUCGGUUGGUAACUACUUCUAGCAGGACGAGACGAGAGUGAGUACGUGCGAGAAGAAGACGACCGGACCGAACGUAACCGUACGCCACGACGACGACCGCCGGU
Molecule: ribosomal RNA, 489 nt
Filed under: uncultured soil bacterium
Lineage: Bacteria
Description: bacterial SSU rRNA
Rfam family: Bacterial small subunit ribosomal RNA
Source: RNAcentral